GGUUUCGUGGUGUAACGGUUAGCACCUAGGACUUUGAAUCCUAAGAUCCGAGUUCAAAUCUCGGCGAAACCU
Molecule: transfer RNA, 72 nt
Organism: Tetranychus urticae (two-spotted spider mite)
Lineage: Eukaryota; Metazoa; Arthropoda; Arachnida; Trombidiformes; Tetranychidae
Rfam family: tRNA
About the family: Transfer RNA (tRNA) molecules are approximately 80 nucleotides in length. Their secondary structure includes four short double-helical elements and three loops (D, anti-codon, and T loops). Further hydrogen bonds mediate the characteristic L-shaped molecular structure. tRNAs have two regions of fundamental functional importance: the anti-codon, which is responsible for specific mRNA codon recognition, and the 3' end, to which the tRNAs corresponding amino acid is attached (by aminoacyl-tRNA synthetases). tRNAs cope with the degeneracy of the genetic code in two manners: having more than one tRNA (with a specific anti-codon) for a particular amino acid; and 'wobble' base-pairing, i.e. permitting non-standard base-pairing at the 3rd anti-codon position.
Source: Rfam